Molecule: ribosomal RNA, 407 nt
Filed under: uncultured bacterium
Lineage: Bacteria
Description: bacterial SSU rRNA
Rfam family: Bacterial small subunit ribosomal RNA
Source: RNAcentral
GAGUUUGAUCGUGGCUCAGGACGAACGCUGGCGGCGUGCUUAACACAUGCAAGUCGAGCGGAAAGGCCCUUUUGGGGGUACUCGAGCGGCGAACGGGUGAGUAACACGUGAGUAAUCUGCCCUUCACUUUGGGAUAACUGCCUGAAAGGGUGGCUAAUACCGGAUAUUCUCCUCCUGCUGCAUGGUGGGGGGUGGGAAGAUUUUUUGGUGGGGGAUGUGCUCGCGGCCUAUCAGCUUGUUGGUGGGGUAAUGGCCUACCAAGGCUUCGACGGGUAGCCGGCCUGAGAGGGUGACCGGCCACACUGGGACUGAGACACGGCCCAGACUCCUACGGGAGGCAGCAGUGGGGAAUAUUGGACAAUGGGCGGAAGCCUGAUCCAGCAACGCCGCGUGAGGGAUGACGGCCU